This 970-nucleotide ribosomal RNA is filed under the name uncultured bacterium. RNAcentral describes it as "bacterial SSU rRNA". It matches the Rfam family "Bacterial small subunit ribosomal RNA", at positions 8 to 976 of the family's 1533-position model. The record is from RNAcentral.
AGAGUUUGAUCCUGGCUCAGAACGAACGCUGGCGGCGUGCUUAACACAUGCAAGUCGAGUGCGCGUCUCGGUAGCAAUACUGGGAUGGCGCACGGCGCACGGGUGCGUAACACGUGGGCAAUCUGCCCUCCGAUGGGGAAUAACCCCGCGAAAGCGGGGCUAAUACCGCAUAACAUUCCGGGGACUUCGGUUCCUGGAUUCAAAGGCGUAAGUCGUCGGAGGUGGAGCCCGCGCCCGAUUAGCUAGUUGGUGAGGUAACGGCUCACCAAGGCAAUGAUCGGUAGCUGGUCUGAGAGGAUGGCCAGCCACACUGGAACUGAGACACGGUCCAGACUCCUACGGGAGGCAGCAGUGGGGAAUCUUGCGCAAUGGGCGAAAGCCUGACGCAGCGACGCCGCGUGGGGGAUGAAGCAUCUCGGUGUGUAAACCCCUUUCGACUGGGACGAAUGCCUCGCAAGAGGAGUGACGGUACCAGUAGAAGAAGCCCCGGCUAACUACGUGCCAGCAGCCGCGGUAAGACGUAGGGGGCCAGCGUUGUUCGGAAUUACUGGGUGUAAAGGGUUCGUAGGCGGUGUAGCAAGUCGGGAGUGAAAUCUCUGGGCUUAACCCAGAGGCUGCUUCCGAAACUGCUGUGCUGGAGUGUGGGAGAGGCGCGUGGAAUUGCAGGUGUAGCGGUGAAAUGCGUAGAUAUCUGCAGGAACACCCGUGGCGAAGGCGGCGCGCUGGACCACUACUGACGCUGAGGAACGAAAGCUAGGGGAGCAAACAGGAUUAGAUACCCUGGUAGUCCUAGCCCUAAACGAUCAGGACUUGGGGUGCCACCCGUUCGGGUGUCGUCCCGGAGCUAACGCGUUAAGUCCUGCACCUGGGGAGUACGGUCGCAAGACUGAAACUCAAAGGAAUUGACGGGGGGCCCGCACAAGCGGUGGAACAUGUGGUUCAAUUCGACGCUACGCGAGGAACCUUACCU